RNAcentral lists this small nucleolar RNA (269 nucleotides) under Dasypus novemcinctus (nine-banded armadillo). The record is from RNAcentral. Lineage: Eukaryota; Metazoa; Chordata; Mammalia; Cingulata; Dasypodidae.
CAUCUGUGGUCUCAGAACCACUCUGGGUUAAUGGUGCACUUGAGCACAUCAGACUUGCAGAAAAAGCAUACUCCAGAGGAAACUGAGGCAUACUGCUCAAGGGCCAGCAGUUCCAUGUGUUGUUUUCCUCUCAUAGGUCCUGGGUACUGUUGCCACAGUGGUGAUAACUUUGCCAUGUCAUUAUCAACCAACAGUAAGAGAAGCUUUGCAGUUGAGAUAUUGUUUAGCAGAUGAAUCAUUUCUGUUGGACACUAAGUACUGCAACAAGU